Odocoileus virginianus texanus is the source of this 662-nucleotide non-coding RNA. The record is from RefSeq and is a predicted model, not a curated record. Lineage: Eukaryota; Metazoa; Chordata; Mammalia; Artiodactyla; Cervidae.
ACCCCUGCCUUCCCAGAGCUACCCCUGGCCCAGGUCUUCCCAGACAGGGACCCCACACCCCAGGGUCCUGGCGCCCCCUAGCCCUCAGCCUGGUUUGGAAGGAAGGAAUGCAGUCCUGAAAUUCUGGGUGAAGAUGUUUGGCCGGGGCAGGGAGAAGGCCCACCAGCCACGGCUUGGAGCAGGUCUCGCAGAAGAAAUCCACCAAGGGCAUCGUGGAGUCUUGGCCCCGCUCAGGGCUGCCGCACACAGAGGCUGGGCUUGGGGAGUCCCGGGCCAAUGGCUCCACCCCGCUGCUCCUACACACCUUGUGGGAAGCCAUCUCGCUGACGGAGCGGUAGGUCUGCAUGGUUUCCAGCUGCUCCAGACACCAGUCCAGCUCCUCCAGUGUCUCCCGGGCCAACUGCUGACACGUCUCCUCUGGGGAAGGGGCAGCCGGGGCGGUGACUGCGAGGGUUCGCAUGGAGACCCCCAGAGGUGAUGGGGGCCCGUCAGCGGUUAUCCAGUUGACAGAGGCAACACAGGAGGCUAACUGCCUGGCAAGCUGGCAUCACGGCCAGGAGUGGCCCAGAGGCUGGGAUGGCUGACCACUCAUGACCUCAGCCUUGAGCGUCCAUACCCCUCCAUCUUUGUUUAUAAAAGUUUCCCCGACUUAAGAAUUUGAA